Molecule: ribosomal RNA, 253 nt
Filed under: uncultured bacterium
Lineage: Bacteria
Description: partial 16S ribosomal RNA
Rfam family: Bacterial small subunit ribosomal RNA
Source: RNAcentral
UACGUAGGGUGCGAGCGUUAUCCGGAUUCACUGGGUUUAAAGGGUGCGUAGGUGGGCAGUUAAGUCAGUGGUGAAAUCUCCGGGCUUAACCCGGAAACUGCCAUUGAUACUAUCUGUCUUGAAUACCGUGGAGGUGAGCGGAAUAUGUCAUGUAGCGGUGAAAUGCUUAGAUAUGACAUAGAACACCAAUUGCGAAGGCAGCUCACUACACGAAUAUUGACACUGAGGCACGAAAGCGUGGGGAUCAAACAGG